RNAcentral lists this ribosomal RNA (584 nucleotides) under uncultured bacterium. RNAcentral's name for it is "partial 16S ribosomal RNA". It matches the Rfam family "Bacterial small subunit ribosomal RNA", at positions 355 to 1375 of the family's 1533-position model. The record is from RNAcentral.
UGGGGAAUUUUGGACAAUGGGCGAAAGCCUGAUCCAGCAAUGCCGCGUGUGUGAAGAAGGCCUUCGGGUUGUAAAGCACUUUUGUCCGGAAAGAAAUCCUUGGCUCUAAUACAGUCGGGGGAUGACGGUACCGGAAGAAUAAGCACCGGCUAACUACGUGCCAGCAGCCGCGGUAAUACGUAGGGUGCAAGCGUUAAUCGGAAUUACUGGGCGUAAAGCGUGCGCAGGCGGUUUGCUAAGACCGAUGUGAAAUCCCCGGGCUCAACCUGGGAACUGCAUUGGUGACUGGCAGGCUAGAGUAUGGCAGAGGGGGGUAGAAUUCCACGUGUAGCAGUGAAAUGCGUAGAGAUGUGGAGGAAUACCGAUGGCGAAGGCAGCCCCCUGGGCCAAUACUGACGCUCAUGCACGAAAGCGUGGGGAGCAAACAGGAUUAGAUACCCUGGUAGUCCACGCCCUAAACGAUGUCAACUAGUUGUUGGGGAUUCAUUUCCUUAGUAACGUAGCUAACGCGUGAAGUUGACCGCCUGGGGAGUACGGUCGCAAGAUUAAACUUAAUGGAAUUGACGGGGUCAUAGCUGUUUCCU